GGUCGCUCAGUGGUAGAGUGCUUGCCUUGAAUGCAUGAGGCCGUGGGUUCGAUUCCUCAGCACCA
Non-coding RNA from Dipodomys ordii (Ord's kangaroo rat), 65 nucleotides. The record is from Rfam. NCBI's taxonomy places the organism in Eukaryota, Metazoa, Chordata, Mammalia, Rodentia, Heteromyidae.